This 1111-nucleotide unclassified non-coding RNA is filed under the name Hevea brasiliensis (rubber tree). The record is from RNAcentral. Lineage: Eukaryota; Viridiplantae; Streptophyta; Magnoliopsida; Malpighiales; Euphorbiaceae.
GGGUUGAUGCUUGCACCCGAGUCUAAGAGACCAUAGGAAAGAUAGAUCAUGAAAAUAAUCAUAAGAAGACAUCAGCAAUAUUCGAGAAAACAAUAUGUAUGGUAGAAAACACUUUUCAUUGUACUAAAAUUACCUCAAAAAAGAAAGAUUUUUUUCCAUCAGGAGAAGGGCAAAGCAAAUUAAAAAAAAAUAUAUAUAGCACAUUGUGAAGAAACUUUCAACCAAUAUCUCUAUAUUUUCUCUGUGAAAAAUAUUUAACCCAUAGUUGUCAAAGGUUUAAGAUGCACAAGGUAGGCCUAUAUGCAAGGCAUACAUUCAUUAAAACAUGUAUAAAAAAGUUGUAUUAUAAUAAUACAAAAAAAAAAAUAGAAAUGCAUAAGAUCAAAAGAAUGCUACAAAGAAGAUAAAUAGUUCAACAUAGAUCAUAUGCUCGCUAGAGUGCAAGGAAAUUACAAAUAUACAAGCUUUGCCAAAGCUAGAUUAAUUUGACAAGAGCCAUGAGCAUGCAAGAGUACAAAAGGUCACCAAUCACCACUAAGUAGAGUUGAAAAAAAACAGAAUUCAAUGCUUGUUCUUCAUUCAUUUCCUCUAAAUCAGUCCAUUCCUCAUUUACUAUUUACAAAAUAAAAGGAAGAAGGGAAAACUUCAAUUUGUAAUUAGAACACCCAAUCACAUGGUGAUAUCAAUCUCAUUGAGUUAAACCUCACUAUUGUACCAUCUUAUCAACACAACAUCAUCACUUUAGGCAUAAAGUAAAAGCAUCCAACAGUGCAACAGUGCAAGUAAAACCAACUAAUAAAGAGGGAAAAAAACCUUAGGCAUCUAAGAUGCAUGCCAUGGUGUCCACUUAAAGGCAGGUGCCUAUAUGCCUAGGCAUGCAUCACAUGGAUGAAGCCUGGCCUGAGACCAUUAGAGCCAAGGCCCACUUUUAACAUCUAUGAUUUAAUGAAUUAAAGGACAAAAACAAAUAACUAAAAGAUCACAAGAAAGAACAGAUUUCUAGCAUCAUAUUUUCCCAUAACUAUAUUGCAGUUUGAAAAGGGGCUGAAACAGUAUUAUGCUCUACUACACUAUAAUAAAGAGAUUCAGGUAACUAUAAUAGAAAUCUGAU